Molecule: ribosomal RNA, 493 nt
Filed under: Hemimarginula sp. MNHN IM 2013-17277
Lineage: Eukaryota; Metazoa; Mollusca; Gastropoda; Lepetellida; Fissurellidae
Description: partial large subunit ribosomal RNA
Rfam family: Bacterial large subunit ribosomal RNA
Source: RNAcentral
CGCCCCUUGUGUUUUUAGAGAUGGGGGGUCGGACCUGCCCGGUGACUUGAGGGUUAAACGGCCGCAGUAUACUGACUGUGCAAAGGUAGCGUAAUCAUAUGCCUCUUAAUUGGGGGCCUGUAUGAAUGGUUUGACAAGGGGGUGACUGUCUCUCCGGUAUGUAUAAUUAAUUUAAAUUUUGGGUGAAGAUGCCCGGUUUCUGCUGAGGGACGAUAAGACCCUGAUGAACUUUAGUGGAUUUUUAUGGGAAAUUGAAGGCAAAUUUGUAUUUCUAAGUGUUAUUGAAUGAAUCUUUGGUUGGGGCAACCGAGGGAUAGAAUUACUUCCCUUUAAAGGAGUUGUUGAGGUAUAUUGAUCAAGGAUCCAAACUUAUUGUUAAGGAAAAAAUGCUUCUUAUGUGUUGCAUUGGGUAAAUUUUUUUAAUUGUAGGUGUUGAUCAUAAGUAAAGUUACCACAGGGAUAACAGCACUAUUCUUUUGGAGAGUUCAUAUUG